RNAcentral lists this ribosomal RNA (172 nucleotides) under Aplastodiscus sp. 1 MLL-2016. RNAcentral's name for it is "partial 16S ribosomal RNA". Lineage: Eukaryota; Metazoa; Chordata; Amphibia; Anura; Hylidae. The record is from RNAcentral.
ACGUGAUCUGAGUUCAGACCGGAGCAAUCCAGGUCAGUUUCUAUCUAUAAAGGGCUUUUUCCAGUACGAAAGGACCGAAAAAGCAUGGCCAAUAGAACACCAAGCCAUACAGUUAACUUAUGAUUUAAACUUAAUCAGUAAUAACCCUCAUACCCGCCUCAAAAAAAGAGUA